RNAcentral lists this ribosomal RNA (511 nucleotides) under Hypoxylon fragiforme. RNAcentral's name for it is "eukaryotic LSU rRNA". The stretch from base 205 to 358 matches the Rfam family "5.8S ribosomal RNA". Lineage: Eukaryota; Fungi; Ascomycota; Sordariomycetes; Xylariales; Hypoxylaceae. The record is from RNAcentral.
AACCUCCCAACCCCUGUGAACUUACCACUGUUUCCUCGGCGUGCGCACCUGGUUGCCCGCGGGGGAUCCGAGCCUACCCUGUAGCUACCCUGUAGCUACCCUGUAGACCCGGGUCCUCAGCACACGGCGCCGCUCAAGGUCCCGCCGAAGUACCCUGAACUCUGUUUAACGUGGAAUUCUGAAUGCUUCAACUAAAUAAGUUAAAACUUUCAACAACGGAUCUCUUGGUUCUGGCAUCGAUGAAGAACGCAGCGAAAUGCGAUAAGUAAUGUGAAUUGCAGAAUUCAGUGAAUCAUCGAAUCUUUGAACGCACAUUGCGCCCAUUAGUAUUCUAGUGGGCAUGCCUAUUCGAGCGUCAUUUCAACCCUUAAGCCUCUGUUGCUUAGCGUUGGGAGUCUACGGGUUACCCUGUAGUUCCUGAAAACCAUUGGCGGAGUCAGGGAGCACUCUAAGCGUAUUACACAAUCUUUUUGUCUCGCUUUGGAUAUUGCCCCGCCUCCACGCCGUAAAA